UUAUCAAAACCUUUCUGGACCCAAAAAGAGAAUUGCACACAUUGCCAAGUUCAAUGUUCCAACCAGUAAAGACAUCCUUAGCCCAUUCAGGGAGCCAGUGGCACCACUGAUGAGUCGCCCUGGCAUCCUUCGUGCCCAGCAACAGGCAGCACAGAUCACGGCUGACAUAAAGAGUGGGCAGGCUUUUGUUGCUGCCACUUCAGAACAAAAGAAAACUACAUUUGCAUGUCCAGUCUCUCAGACCCAAAGGAGAGUCUCAGGAGAAAAUUCACUUCUAUCAAACAAGCUUCAUCAGGAUGUAUUUCUAUCAAAG
Lynx canadensis (Canada lynx) is the source of this 313-nucleotide long non-coding RNA. RefSeq lists it as uncharacterized. The record is from RefSeq and is a predicted model, not a curated record. Lineage: Eukaryota; Metazoa; Chordata; Mammalia; Carnivora; Felidae. The transcript has 3 exons.